AUGGUUGUCGUCAGCUCGUGUCGUGAGAUGUGGGUUAAGUCCCGCAACGAGCGCAACCCUACUUGCUAGUUACCAUCAUUAAGUUGGGGACUCUAGCGAGACUGCCAGUGAUAAACUGGAGGAAGGUGGGGAUGACGUCAAAUCAUCAUGCCCCUUAUGACCUGGGCUACAAACGUGAUACAAUGGCUGGAACAAAGGGAUGCGAAGCAGUGAUGUGGAGCGAAACCCAUAAAAACAGUCUCAGUUCGGAUUGAAGUCUGCAACUCGACUUCAUGAAGUCGGAAUCGCUAGUAAUCGCGGAUCAGAACGCCGCGGUGAAUACGUUCUCGGGGUUU
Molecule: ribosomal RNA, 335 nt
Filed under: uncultured Acholeplasma sp.
Lineage: Bacteria; Bacillati; Mycoplasmatota; Mollicutes; Acholeplasmatales; Acholeplasmataceae
Description: bacterial SSU rRNA
Rfam family: Bacterial small subunit ribosomal RNA
Source: RNAcentral